AGUGGGAUAGCUGGGUCAAAUGGUGGUUCCAUUCCAAGUUUUCUGAAGAAGCUCCAUACUGCUUUCUAGAGUGGUUGCACCAAUUUUCAGUCCCACCAGCAAU
RNAcentral lists this microRNA precursor (103 nucleotides) under Marmota monax (woodchuck). Lineage: Eukaryota; Metazoa; Chordata; Mammalia; Rodentia; Sciuridae. The record is from RNAcentral.